This 254-nucleotide ribosomal RNA is filed under the name uncultured bacterium. RNAcentral's name for it is "partial 16S ribosomal RNA". It matches the Rfam family "Bacterial small subunit ribosomal RNA", at positions 524 to 776 of the family's 1533-position model. The record is from RNAcentral.
UACGAGGGGGGCAAGCGUUGUUCGGAAUUAUUGGGCGUAAAGGGCGCGUAGGCGGUGCGGUAAGUCACCUGUGAAAACUCUGGGCUCAACUCAGAGCCUGCAGGCGAAACUGCCGUGCUGGAGUGUGGGAGAGGUGCGUGGAAUUCCCGGUGUAGCGGUGAAAUGCGCAGAUAUCAGGAGGAACACCAAUAGCGAAGGCAGCUCGCUGGGACGGUACUGACGCUGAGGCGCGAAAGCGUGGGGGAGCAAACAGG